UGCUUCAAUUGAAUAUACCGCUCUGGUAAUAUUUCAUCCUAUCUAAUUUCUUCAAACAUAGUAUCCUACUAUUGAAUUUCAUCCUAUCUAAUUUUUGACCUUGAGACACAUGGCUUCCCAUGCUUCAAUUGAUUUCAGUUUUCGGUAUUAGGCUUAUGCACAGGCAGCACUGCUUUUUGGAAGGGCUCCAUCUAAGCUCAUGUAUUCUCUGCAGGAUGUGCAACUUUUCUAGCAAACUAUCACGUACCGUCUUAUAACAAUUGCUUCUCCAGGGCGUGGUAUUUUGGCCAUGGAUGAAUCCAAUGCUACAUGUGGAAAGCGGUUGGAUUCAAUUGGACUAGAGAACACCGAAGCUUAACCGUCAAGCAUGGCGUAAAAUUAUAUAUGAAGAAAG
This is a long non-coding RNA of Vicia villosa (hairy vetch), 394 nucleotides long. RefSeq lists it as uncharacterized. NCBI's taxonomy places the organism in Eukaryota, Viridiplantae, Streptophyta, Magnoliopsida, Fabales, Fabaceae. The transcript is spliced from 3 exons. The record is from RefSeq and is a predicted model, not a curated record.